RNAcentral lists this ribosomal RNA (819 nucleotides) under Triticum aestivum (bread wheat). RNAcentral's name for it is "partial small subunit ribosomal RNA". The record is from RNAcentral. Lineage: Eukaryota; Viridiplantae; Streptophyta; Magnoliopsida; Poales; Poaceae.
AUGACAUUGCUAAAGAUGUUUGGUGAUUUCAGGAAGAACACCCCUGAAGAGCGAAACAUCCGUUUUGGCGUUAGAGAGCAUGCAAUGGGCGCCGUUUGCAAUGGCAUUGUUGUGCACAGCCCUGGCCUGAUACCUUACUGUUCGACAUUCUUUGUGUUCACUUACUACAUGAGAGCUCCUAUACGGCAUUAUCUGAAUUUUGUGAUGACUCAUGAUUCCAUUGGACUUGGAGAAGAUGGGCCGACACAUCAACCGGUUGAGCAGUUAAGGCCCUCGCGCCUGUUGGAGGUGCUUGCGCACGCCAUCUUUUACAGCGGCCGCUGGAGCCAAUGCUCUUAUAGGAUCGCGGUUAUCAACAGGAAAAAGCCCUCCAUCCUUGCACUCUCUCGACAGAAACUCUCUCAGGUGGAAGGAACUUCGGUUGAAGGCGUUGCAAAGGGAGGCUACGCCAUUUCUGACAAUUCAUCGGGAAACAAACCUGACCUCAUCCUAAUCAGCACACGCUCCGAGCUCGAGAUCGCAGCAAAAGCAGCCGAUCAGCUGAGGAAGGAGGGGAAAUCUGUACAGGUUGUCUCGCUUGUUUGCUGGGAAUUAUUUGAGGAGCAGUCUGAGGAGUACAAGGAGAGUGUCCUACCAAGCGAGGUUACUUCCAGGAUUAGCGUCGAAGCCGGCGUCACACUAGGAUGGGAGAAGUAUAUAGGACAGAAGGGCAAAGUAAUCGGCAUUAACCGUUUCGGUUCAAGUGCUCCUGCUGGAAGAAUAUACAGGGAGCUUGGUUUGACGGUGGAGAAUCUCAUUGCAACAGCCAAAUCACUGUAA